UAGGGAAUCUUCCACAAUGGGCGCAAGCCUGAUGGAGCAACACCGCGUGAGUGAAGAAGGGUUUCGGCUCGUAAAGCUCUGUUGUUGGAGAAGAACGUGCGUGAGAGUAACUGUUUAUGCAGUGACGGUAUCCAACCAGAAAGUCACGGCUAACUACGUGCCAGCAGCCGCGGUAAUACGUAGGUGGCAAGCGUUAUCCGGAUUUAUUGGGCGUAAAGCGAGCGCAGGCGGUUGCUUAGGUCUGAUGUGAAAGCCUUCGGCUUAACCGAAGAAGUGCAUCGGAAACCGGGCGACUUGAGUGCAGAAGAGGACAGUGGAACUCCAUGUGUAGCGGUGGAAUGCGUAGAUAUAUGGAAGAACACCAGUGGCGAAGGCGGCUGUCUGGUCUGCAACUGACGCUGAGGCUCGAAAGCAUGGGUAGCGAACA
Molecule: ribosomal RNA, 427 nt
Filed under: uncultured bacterium
Lineage: Bacteria
Description: bacterial SSU rRNA
Rfam family: Bacterial small subunit ribosomal RNA
Source: RNAcentral